CAAAAAAUAAAAUCAGUAAGAGACAGAAACGAAGACAGGUCCGUUUUUUUCAUUUUCUGAGACCGGAAGUGGUCAUCAGCAAGUGUGGAGCCAAACGACAACAAGAUUCUCAGAGGGCGGAGCCAGAGAGCAGUGAUUGGUCAGACCAUAGCUAGCGUAUCUAGUCUUCUAUGCAUAUCUAUGGUCGGCACAUCUGGUAGCAUCUCUGGCUGCUGUUGACCUUGUUUUUGGAGUAAAACACGGUGGAAGCUGAAUUAGUGAGGAUGACUCCUGCUCCUGUCAUCUCUAAGCUCCUCACACAUCUUUACCUGCACAUGAGGAAAAUCACUCCUGUAGAAUGCAGAUGUUCAGAGGGAGAUGAUGCCACAUCUGGUCCAGCCGAUGGAAGGUCUUGAAGUUCUCUGACUGGCCUGGACUGAAGAUGGUCGUCUCACUGGAUUUAAGGAUUACCACAGACCUGACCGUGAACACCGUUGACACCCACCUGAGGGAGACGCUGCCUAAGAUCUCAAGGCUGCUUGGUCGUGGUCUUUCUGGUCCUGCUCCAGAACGCCUUCAUCAACUACAUCUUCUUUUGAAGAGGCCCUCAGAUGCUGCAAUCUCUGACCUUAAGGAGGAACUGCUACUUUCACUCUGUAACGAGACAGCGGUUAUUUUAAAGACCCAGCUCCUGGCGGCUUUGAGUCAAAGUUUAACACCCAUCAAAACGGAACUACAGACAGUUAAAUCUGAGCUGUCGGUCAGUAUUUCAAACAUCAAGUCCGACCCGGCUGCCCUAAAGCACGCUGUGAGUGAAACGGAAACUUCACUCUCCACAUCACCGACGACAUCGUCACACUCCAAAGCAGAG
Long non-coding RNA from Amphiprion ocellaris (clown anemonefish), 850 nucleotides. NCBI's taxonomy places the organism in Eukaryota, Metazoa, Chordata, Actinopteri, Pomacentridae. The record is from Ensembl.